AAAAAGGAAGCCAAUACUUCCCAGUUUUGCUCUAAAUGCCGAUUUUUUUUUUUUUUUAGAUAUUUAAAAAUCACUCUAUGUUUUUGUUUCCCUUCUCAUUGCCAUUAUAUUUAUUCUGCUGCUCUCAUUCCUAACCAACUUCCUGUUCCAAAUCUCCACUCUAGGUUCACACAGAUCUGGCCCUUCCUUUCCUGGAGCCUGUCCCACAGUGAUGGGACCCGACUGCCUCCUGGGCACCACACAGUUCCCUGCAUUUCAGAAUCUCAGUUGGAUCCUGGAUAGCUGGACACAACUGCUUCCCUGCCCUGAAACUGGAGCAAGAAGAGCCAGGACACCACCCCCGUGCCCUGCUUGUCCUGGCAGAGGGAGAGGAUGCUGUUUGCCUGAACGUUCCCUUCAGUGUGCAGCAGGUCUAAAGAUGUGACAACCACUUUGAUAUGUCCUCUGACAUUCUGUGUGACAUAGCCCACUUGGGAAUUUGCAGCCCUGAAGAUUUGCCACUUACAAGGUUCCUGCAGGAAACACACAGAAGAAUAAAACUUUGGAUUAUGCCUGUGAUGGGAAAAGCUGCAGCGAUGACUGACUGGAAAGGCUGAUCCUUCUCACACCAAAUACCACUGCCUUGCCACCAGAUGGAGGGAACACGUUCAGCUGCAAAACCCAAAGCACAGCCCAGCAGGUCCCGAGCUGCGACAGGAGCGGCUCUGCCCCGGCACCUCUGGAGCCUCAGCCCGGGACUGAGCCCCAACUUCAGCUUCUCCACUUCAAACUCCUGGAAAGAUGGGAAGCCCUUGAGCCCUUGAAGGCUGUGAGCCACUUGACCACUGCUCUUCACUGGAUAACCCACUCCUGCUUGUUUAUCUUUCCUACUUUUUCAUGCUCUGGACUAUCAAUAAGAAUUACUCAAAUUAUUCAAAGCUCAUCCCUGAGAGAAAAGCUGUAGCUGAAAGCCCAGGGCUGGGAUCACCCACUGACUCCACGUGAGCAGGUUUUGAUGGAGGCACCAGGGAAGUGUCAACUGGAUGAGGAGAACCAGGAGUCCUU
This is a long non-coding RNA of Chiroxiphia lanceolata (lance-tailed manakin), 1044 nucleotides long. RefSeq lists it as uncharacterized. The transcript is spliced from 6 exons. The record is from RefSeq and is a predicted model, not a curated record. Lineage: Eukaryota; Metazoa; Chordata; Aves; Passeriformes; Pipridae.